This 370-nucleotide RNase P RNA is filed under the name Burkholderiales bacterium LSUCC0115. RNAcentral describes it as "Bacterial RNase P class A". It matches the Rfam family "Bacterial RNase P class A". From Rfam's summary of the family: Ribonuclease P (RNase P) is a ubiquitous endoribonuclease, found in archaea, bacteria and eukarya as well as chloroplasts and mitochondria. Its best characterised activity is the generation of mature 5'-ends of tRNAs by cleaving the 5'-leader elements of precursor-tRNAs. Cellular RNase Ps are ribonucleoproteins. The record is from Rfam by way of RNAcentral. Lineage: Bacteria; Pseudomonadati; Pseudomonadota; Betaproteobacteria; Burkholderiales. RNAcentral also lists the same sequence under 1 other name.
GAAGUGGGCUGGACGAUCGCUGCCAACGUGAGUUGGGAGAGGAAGGUCCGGACUCCGCAGGGUAGGGUGACGGCUAACGGCCGUACGCAGCAAGUGGGUUUCGGCCCACCCAAGGCGAGGAACAGGGCCACAGAGACGAGUAAUCAGCCGGCCAAGGGCAUGGCUGAGGAUGUGAAACGCGGUAACCUCCACCCGGAGCAACACCAAGUAGGCGCGCGAGAGGCUUGUCCUUGAAAAGGUGUCCCGCCUGAUGCGCGCGGGUAGGUGGCUUGAGCCCAUUAGCAAUGAUGGGCCUAGAUGGAUGAUCGUCAUAGGGCCGGCUUUUUGGUCGGCCCCGUAACAGAAUCCGGCCUACAGGCCCACUUCCGUU